GUAGGUGAACCUGCGGAAGGAUCAUUACCGAGUAUUGGGUCUCACGGCCCGCACUCCAACCCUCUGUGUACCAAAAUUGUUGCUUUGGCGGGCCCGCGGUGUCAUGCCGCUGCCGGCUCACGCUGGUUAGCGCCCGCCAGAGAACCCCUAAACUCUUGUUUAAACAGUGUCGUCUGAGCAAAAACAAACAAUCAAAACUUUCAACAACGGAUCUCUCGGUUCUG
RNAcentral lists this unclassified non-coding RNA (224 nucleotides) under rhizosphere metagenome. RNAcentral describes it as "partial ribosomal RNA internal transcribed spacer region". The record is from RNAcentral.